Zea mays is the source of this 4560-nucleotide long non-coding RNA. RefSeq lists it as uncharacterized. The record is from RefSeq and is a predicted model, not a curated record. The transcript is spliced from 2 exons. NCBI's taxonomy places the organism in Eukaryota, Viridiplantae, Streptophyta, Magnoliopsida, Poales, Poaceae.
CACCGUAGAUCAUGAAGUAGUCAUGGACCUCGGGGAACUCCUCUGCCUUGUGGCCCUCCUUCUUGUCGUUGUUGGGGGCUCUGCCUUCUUCCGCCAGUGGCCCGGCCUUGUGGAAGUAGCGCCGAAGCAUGACGCACUCCUCAAGGGUGUGCUUGAUGGGACCCUGAUGAUAGGGGCACGACUCCUUGAGCAUCUUGUCGAACAGGUUGGCGCCUCCAGAGGGCUUCUGAGGGUUCCUGUGCUCGGCGGGGGCGACAAGAUCUGCGUCGGCGGCGUCACGUUUCGCUUGCGACUUCUUCUUGCCCUUCUUCUUGGUGCCGUGCUGAGCGGACGCCUCGGGGACUUCUUCCGGUUGGCGCCCCUGAGGCUGCUUGCCCUUCCGGAAGAUGGCCUCGACCGCCUCCUGGCAAGAGGCGAACUUGGUGGCGAUGUCCAUCAGCUCGCUCGCCCUGGUGGGAGUCUUGCAACCCAGCUUGCUCACCAGGUCACGGCAAGUGGUGCCGGCGAGGAACACGCCGAUGACAUCUGAGUCGGUGAUGUUGGGCAGCUCGGUGCGCUGCUUCGAAAAUCGCCGGAUGUAGUCCCGGAGGGAUUCUCCCGGCUGCUGGCGGCAGCUUCGGAGAUCCCAGGAGUUCCCAGGGUGUACGUAUGUGCCCUGGAAGUUGCCGGCGAAAGCUUUGACCAGGUCGUCCCAGUUCGAGAUCUGCACAGGAGGCAGAUGCUCCAGCCAGGCUCAGGCGGCGUCGGAGAGGAAUAGAGGGAGGUUGCGAAUGAUGAGGUUGUCAUCGUCCAUUCCACCCAGCUGGCAGGCCAGCCGGUAGUCCGCGAGCCACAGUUCCAGCCUUGUCUCCCCCGAGUACUUGGUAAUGGUAGUCGGGGUUCAGAACCGGGUCGGGAACGGCGCCCGUCGUAUGGCCCGGCUGAAAGCUUGCGGACCGGUGGUUUGGGCGAGGGGCUCCGAUCCUCCCCGCUGUCGUAGCGUCCCCCACGCCUGGGGUGGUAGCCUCGGCGCACCUUUUUGUUGAGGUGGGCUCGACGGUCGUGGCGGUGGUGCUCGUUGCCGAGGCGUCCCGGGGCCACAGGCGCUGUGUCCCGCGUGCGCCCGGUGUGGACCGAGGCUUCCCGCAUGAAUCGGGAAGUCGUGGUGGGACGCUCCGGGGGGUACCCUUGCCUUCGGGAGGCAGAGCUUUCGGCCCGUCGGACCGCGGCAUCCUCCAGGAGAUUCUUGAGCUCUCCCUGGAUUCGCCGCCCCUCGGUGGUGGAUGGUUCCGGCAUCGCUCGGAGUAGUAUUGCUGCUGCAGCCAGGUUCUGGCUGACCCCACUGGAAGCUGGGGGCAGUCUUGCCCUGGCAUCGUCGGCGAUGCGGUGCUAGACGUCUUGGGCCAGAUGACACGCUUCUCCGGCCGGUGCUCGGCCUGCCCACUCCUGCCCGAUAUUUUGCCGAAGCUGCACAAGUUGUCCUGCUUCCUCGUCGAGCCUGGCCUGCAUCUCGCGGAUUUGCUCGAGCUGUGCGUCCUGACCCCCCGCAGGGACUGGGACCACAGCUAGCUCCCGAAGGAUGUCAACGCGAGGCGCAGGCCUAGGGGAUCGCCGUCCUCCGGCAUACCAAGAUGGUUGCCUUCGUCGAGACCCCCUAGAUCGACGUGGAAACAUUCGCGACUUGGGCCACAGUCCUCGUCGCCGAGGCUGUGGCUACUAUCGGAGCAAUCAGAGAGGCAGUAGUCACAUGCGGUCAUGAAGUCCCGCAUGGCACUGGGGUUAUCGAGCCCGGAGAAAUCCCAACCAGAGUCGGGCUCGUCAUCUUCCUUGGAACCCGGGGGCCCGUAGGUUGAGACAGUCGUCAGUCGGUCCCAGGUUGACCGCAUAUGAUACCCCGGAGGGUUUGGAUAUGCCUUUAUGAAAGCAUCCACCAAAGCGGGGUCGCUUGGUGGGUCGAGGCUGAAUCUAAAAGGCAUAGGACGGGAAACGGACGGUACCUCUUGAUCGACGGAUGGUGACGAAGUCGCGUCGGGGACGGACUGCACCGUUAUCUCGGGUACGAGACUAACGCCCAGCAAGUCCUUCGCGAGCGUGCUGGCGCCAUCCGUCUGCUUGGGGUUGGCGUGUUGCGGGGAAACGACGCUCGUCUUCGUCUCAGACGCGAGGUCAACGCCCGACGUGUCCCCCGUUGGGGCGUCGGCGCCGUCGACUCGCUCGACAGCCGACGAGGUGCCACCUCCUGCAUGGCCAUGGUUGCCCUGCCUCCUCCUCCGUCAGCGGGGAAGGUGACGGGACAGACCCGGAUGUCGCUCUUCCGCCACGUGGGGAAGACGUCGUUGAUUCCGCCGCCGACGGGCGGGCUGACGGCCGCCAUUGUCGUUGUCGCGCGGCGGAUGAAGGAGUAUCAUGUCGUAGCUGCCGUCGAGGGACAUGAACUCAAGACUCCCGAAAUGGAGCACCGUCCCGGGUUGGAGAGGUUGUUGGAGACUACCCAUCUGGAGCUUGACGGGAAGAUGUUCGUCAACACGCAGCAGGCCCCUACCUGGCGCGCCAACUGUCGGCGUUUCGACCCCGGGGGGUCCCUGGACCGACGAGUAAAUUGUCGUUGCGUGUCCCAGCCCAGAUGGGUCGGCGCGAGACGGAACACAAGGGGGGAAAACAGUAAGGGGAAACCGCGGCCUUCGUGUUGUCCUGCGCCCAGGGCGGAUGCGCUAGCAGUAGGGGGUUACAAGCGUUCGCGUGGGAGAGAGAGAGAGAGCGAGGGCCUUGUGCGCCAGCCCGUUCUCCCGCGCGACCACCUUCUCAUACGAGAGCCCUGGACCUUCCUUUUAUAUAUGUAAGGAGAGGGCCCAGGUGUACAACGGGGGGUGUAGCAAUGUGCUAACGUGUCUAGCAAAGGCGAGCCAGAGCCCUAUGUACAUGCCGUCGUGGCUGUCGGAGAGGUUUUGGUGCCCUGUUCAUGUGGUGUCGUGGCCGCCGGAGGAGCGCUUGAGCCCUGUGGAAGUACAGCUAUCGGGGCUGUCGGAUCCUUGCUGACGUCUCCUUGCUUCCGUAAGGGGCUGAGAGCCGCCGUCGUCAUGGAGCACGCGGGGUGCCAUCAUCACUUGUUUACCGGGGCGAGCCAGAUGGGACGCCGGUCUUGUUCCCCGUAGCCUGAGCUAGCUAGGGGUAGGGUAAUGAUGGCGCCCCUUGUGACGUGGUCGGUCCGAGCCCGAGGUCGGGCGAGGCGGAGGCUCCUCCGAGGUCGAGGUUGAGUCCGAGCCCCAGGGGUCGGGCGAGGCGGAGACUGUCGUCCGAGGUCGAGGUUGAGUCCGAGCCCCAGGGGUCGGGCGAGGCGGAGACUGUCGUCCGAGGUCAAGGUUGAGUCCGAGCCCCGGGGGUCGGGCGAGGCGGAGACCGUCGUCCGAGGUCGAGGUAGAGUCCGAGCCCCGGGGGUCGGGCGAGGCGGAGUCCGUCUUCCGAGGUCGAGGCUGAGUCCGAGCCCUGGGGUCGGGCGAGGCGGAGUCCGUCUUCCGAGGUCGAGGCUGAGUCCGAGCCCUGGGGUCGGGCGAGGUGGAGCUUCCUAUGGCGCCUGAGGACGAUCUUGGCGGCUGUCAGCCUCACCCUGACGAGUGGCACAGCAGUCGGAGCAGCGCAGGCGGCGCUGUUUUCCUGUCAGGUCGGCCAGUGGAGCGGCGAAGUGACUGCGGUCACUUCGGCUCUGUCGACUGAAGAGCGCACGUUAGGAUAAGGUGUCAGGCGAUCCUCGCAUUGAAUGCUCCUGCGAUACGGUCGGUUGGCGUAGCGAUCCGGCCAAGGUUGCUUCUCCGCGAAGCCUGCCCGAGCUGGGCUUCGGGCGAGUCGAAGGUGCGUCCGUUGCUUGAGGAGACCCUCGGGCGAGGCGUGAAUCUGCCUUGGUCUACUGUUCCUGCCCGAGGCUGGGCUCGGGCGAGACGAGAUCGUGUCCCUCGUGUGGACGGAGCCUUGACCGGAAUCGCGCCCAUCAGGCCUUUGCAGCUUUGUGCUGAUGGGGGUUACCAGCUGAGAUUAGGAGUCUUGGUGGUACCCCUAAUUAUGGUCCCCGACAGUGAGUGUCUUAUUUAUUCUCAACACGCUCGAUAUUGGUUCUAUAACUAAUAUAUUAUAUUUGCAACAGUCUUGGUUUCCACAGCAGGCACAACAGCAACCAUUUGUUUUCCCUCAGUUUCAAUUUAGUUAAGACUUGUCGUUUGUAUCAACCUAAUUUCAAAUCUUUACUAAACUUGAUUUUGUAGGGAUCUGGGGUCAUGGGCCACAACACGCCACCACCGGUCAUACCAGCACCAGGAGGAGCUUAUGCAGGGGAGGGAGCUACUCCAGGAGAGAAUUCAAACAUGUUACACAACUUCAUCAACGAGUUUUUCGCUUCUGGAGGUAGUGGACACAACUCCAACGAUCCUGAUAUAUGAUGGAGUUAGCUUUGUGCCGAAUUGUGCGUUGUAAUGGACUAAUAGUGGACUUUAUGUUUGUAUGGACUAUUUGUGGACUUUAUGUUUGUAUGGACGCCAAUUUUAUGUUGUGGACUAUUUGUGAAUUGUGUAUUUAAUGUUUCUGUAUUGUGGA